AGAGUUUGAUCCUGGCUCAGGACGAACGCUGGCGGCGUGCUUAACACAUGCAAGUCGAACGGAAAGGCCCUUCGGGGUACUCGAGUGGCGAACGGGUGAGUAACACGUGGGUGAUCUGCCCUGCACUUUGGGAUAAGCCUGGGAAACUGGGUCUAAUACCGAAUAGGACCACGCGCUUCAUGGUGUGUGGUGGAAAGCUUUUGCGGUGUGGGAUGGGCCCGCGGCCUAUCAGCUUGUUGGUGGGGUAAUGGCCUACCAAGGCGACGACGGGUAGCCGGCCUGAGAGGGUGACCGGCCACACUGGGACUGAGAUACGGCCCAGACUCCUACGGGAGGCAGCAGUGGGGAAUAUUGCACAAUGGGCGCAAGCCUGAUGCAGCGACGCCGCGUGAGGGAUGACGGCCUUCGGGUUGUAAACCUCUUUCAAUAGGGACGAAGCGCAAGUGACGGUACCUAUAGAAGAAGCACCGGCCAACUACGUGCCAGCAGCCGCGGUAAUACGUAGGGUGCGAGCGUUGUCCGGAAUUACUGGGCGUAAAGAGCUCGUAGGUGGUUUGUCGCGUUGUUCGUGAAAACUCACAGCUUAACUGUGGGCGUGCGGGCGAUACGGGCAGACUAGAGUACUGCAGGGGAGACUGGAAUUCCUGGUGUAGCGGUGGAAUGCGCAGAUAUCAGGAGGAACACCGGUGGCGAAGGCGGGUCUCUGGGCAGUAACUGACGCUGAGGAGCGAAAGCGUGGGGAGCGAACAGGAUUAGAUACCCUGGUAGUCCACGCCGUAAACGGUGGGUACUAGGUGUGGGUUCCUUCCUUGGGAUCCGUGCCGUAGCUAACGCAUUAAGUACCCCGCCUGGGGAGUACGGCCGCAAGGCUAAAACUCAAAGGAAUUGACGGGGGCCCGCACAAGCGGCGGAGCAUGUGGAUUAAUUCGAUGCAACGCGAAGAACCUUACCUGGGUUUGACAUGCACAGGACGCCGGCAGAGAUGUCGGUUCCCUUGUGGCCUGUGUGCAGGUGGUGCAUGGCUGUCGUCAGCUCGUGUCGUGAGAUGUUGGGUUAAGUCCCGCAACGAGCGCAACCCUUGUCCUAUGUUGCCAGCGGGUUAUGCCGGGGACUCGUAGGAGACUGCCGGGGUCAACUCGGAGGAAGGUGGGGAUGACGUCAAGUCAUCAUGCCCCUUAUGUCCAGGGCUUCACACAUGCUACAAUGGCCGGUACAAAGGGCUGCGAUGCCGUGAGGUGGAGCGAAUCCUUUCAAAGCCGGUCUCAGUUCGGAUCGGGGUCUGCAACUCGACCCCGUGAAGUCGGAGUCGCUAGUAAUCGCAGAUCAGCAACGCUGCGGUGAAUACGUUCCCGGGCCUUGUACACACCGCCCGUC
RNAcentral lists this ribosomal RNA (1374 nucleotides) under actinobacterium PI_GH1.1.B5. RNAcentral describes it as "SSU rRNA". It matches the Rfam family "Bacterial small subunit ribosomal RNA". Lineage: Bacteria; Bacillati; Actinomycetota; Actinomycetes. The record is from RNAcentral.